Ictalurus furcatus (blue catfish) is the source of this 2754-nucleotide long non-coding RNA. RefSeq lists it as uncharacterized. The record is from RefSeq and is a predicted model, not a curated record. The transcript is spliced from 4 exons. Lineage: Eukaryota; Metazoa; Chordata; Actinopteri; Siluriformes; Ictaluridae.
GUGUUGCCAAAGUUAGUGCUGAGUGUGUAUGCCAUCCAGUACUUGGAAAACUAACAAUAAGUAUUUCAAGGCCUGGCGUUGAGUGCAUCGUUACAGUAUAAGCUUGGGUUUUUGUGCAUGCAUACUGUAUAUACGGCAAUCGUAUUUUAUAUUUUUAAUAUAGUUUAUAUACUGUAAAAUACUGUAUGAUGUCUUCUCCUUUUUUGCUGUAUGUAUGCACAAAAACCAAACCAAAAUCUUAAUAAAUAAUUUGGGGGAAAAAACAAACAGACAGACACUGCAUGCAACACCGAAUACGUUACGGAUAUGACUGACUGGCCUGAGGGUGGAGAACACUGGUAGGGGUGUGGAUGGAGUGGUGGCGAGUAAAACUAGGUCACCAAAUAGGUCAGGGCUGUGGCCACGUUCAGUCACUAGGGCUUUCUGUUCUUUAUCAAAGCACCAUGCUUCUGAGAUCACUACUUGAGUUUUCUGAAGGAAUAAAAUAAAAACUCAUUAAGCCUACCAGGUCGAUCAACGUUAUUAUACUAGGAGUGUAAUUAUAGUAGAAAUGUUUCCACUUCCUGUGUUCAUUCAGAUUAUAGAGAACCCAUUAGCGUAAACGUAGAAUGAUAAAAAUGAGUCAUUCAGAUGGCAUGAUUGUAUAACGAUGUGAGGUUCAUCAUUUUCGAGCACUGACUACAAGGGUGAACGUGUUGGUGAAUUUAAAUGAUAACUUGCCCUCUAGUGAACAUUACAUUUACAUUUAUUCAUUUAGCAGACGCUUUUAUCCAAAGCGACUCACAAACGAGUAAAUACAAGCAAAAUAGGACUUGUGAAUUUCUAAUUACCCUUUUUGUGACUGUGUGUGUGUGAGAGAGAGAAUUUAAUAUUCAGAGUCACUCUCUUGUGUUUCCAUGGCGACCUGGCCUCUGUUAUUACCAGUUGUCCCCUCUGGCCUUGGCAGAUCAAUGCUCAUACUCAUAAUCAUGUAUACAUUGACACCUAUGCUGCUUUUUUAUAUAUUGUUGGGCUUUACCUUUUACAGCUUAUUACUAUGUAGCAGGUUUUUAUUCAUGCUUGUGAACAUAUUUUCUAUCACUAAUCUACACCCAUCCUACAUUAGCUAAAUAUCUUAAUGCUAUUCAUUCAUAAGAAUGAAUCAAAAGAACAGGUGACCUCUAGUGGUGAUGGAUUGCAUGUCCAUACACUGUGACAUUUGUGUGUUCUUGUCGCAUUGAAUGCUUCUUAAUGUGCUUUUGCUGUCUCACACUGACAGGCCCUGAGCGAGCGAUAAAGAUAAAGAGUGUGUCUUCUCCCUCCAGCAUCCUCCGGCACCCUGCUGCACUUUUCCAACAUGGAGCAGAAGACAACGUCACCUCAGAAGCAUAUGGUGAAGAGCAGGUCCAAGUCUACAGAGGAAAUCCAGCAAGCCAAGAAGGCCUUCCACAUACCGCAGAAGUCCCUUCCUGGUGGAUCAGAUUUUGACAAAGUGAAGGAGGGUCAGGAAGAAUCUGAAACCCCCACAUCAGCCUCAGAAGAAUUGAAGUAAUAUACAGGAGCCUGGAACAAUGCAUACACACACACACACACACACACACACACACACACACACACACACACACACACACACACACAGAGCUUCACAUAUCAACUGAAUGUGUUUCAGUAAUGUACAUGUAAGUCAUAUGGUGCUUAUAUACAGUCGACUCCAAAAUUAUUGGUGCCCUUCAUGACAGUGAGCCAAGUAUGCUCACGCAUCCUCACACAUCUAGCUUGUUUUAGAAAAGUGAAACUUUUUUUUCCGCUGUGUCACUGAUUGUGCUUAAUAGUAUAUUUAACUGCAGCUCAUCAACCAAUCUGUGUAUAUAGAAUUAUAAAUGAGUAUAAAGGCAACAUGUGCAUGUGUGCAACAUGGAAACAUGAAAUGGCCAAAGACAACAGUUUUUCUUCGUUUUGUUAUUUAUACCACAAUUCAGAUUUUAUUUUAUUUAUUUUUUCAUUUGAAGAAAAGCCAUGGCAGAUGCUUGGAUACUUACUUAUUUAUUUAUUUAUUUAUUUAUUUAUUUAUAUAUUUAUUUUUUUUGAAAGAUACUAUUUUUAAAAAAUCGGAAUUGAUAAGCGUGAUUUAUUGCUUAAAAAAAGCCAAGUUCUUUUGUUUAGGUGGACAAUCGGGAUCACUGUGGAAUGUGAUUUUUGCUCGGGGCAGCAUGUAACAUUGCCGUUUCACUGCUCUAGAGUUCCCAGUUCAAUAAAGAGCUGGGGUUAUUUUCUGUGUGGAAUUUCUUUGCAUCCAUAUGGGUUCUCUAGGCUCCAGGUUCUUCAGUUUCAUCCCACUUCCCAAAAAACAUGCCAGUAGGUGGAUUGGAUAUGCUAGUGCUAUUGGACUUGCCCUGGGUGUGAAUGUGUGUGUAUGUGUAUAUUUUGCACUGUGAUGGACUGGCAUCUCAUCGUGAGUGUAUUCCCAUAUUUUGUACAGUGUUCCCGGGAUAGGCUCCGGAUUCAUCGCAAUUCUGACCAGGAUAAAACGCGUCCUGAUGAUGAAUAAAUGAAUUAAUGCAUUUUUGCUCAUUUUAUUAAAGAGUGCCAAUAAUUCUGGAGUUGAAUGACAUUAAAUGCUUUGCCGUCAAAACCCACGUCUAGGCAUGGUCACUGUAGUUGUUGAAUUGUUGAACUGUUGCGAUGUCAAGUGUAAUAUUGUAUUCAUGGGUUUGAGGAGGUGGUGUUACUUCUCAAAGAUGCUCUGUAGGCUAGUGUUCAAAAUAAAUCUGUUCA